RNAcentral lists this ribosomal RNA (618 nucleotides) under uncultured bacterium. RNAcentral describes it as "bacterial SSU rRNA". It matches the Rfam family "Bacterial small subunit ribosomal RNA", at positions 338 to 951 of the family's 1533-position model. The record is from RNAcentral.
CCUACGGGAGGCAGCAGUGGGGAAUUUUGGACAAUGGGCGAAAGCCUGAUCCAGCAAUGCCGCGUGAGUGAAGAAGGCCUUCGGGUUGUAAAGCUCUUUUGUCAGGGAAGAAACGGUGUGGGCUAAUAUCCUGCACUAAUGACGGUACCUGAAGAAUAAGCACCGGCUAACUACGUGCCAGCAGCCGCGGUAAUACGUAGGGUGCAAGCGUUAAUCGGAAUUACUGGGCGUAAAGCGUGCGCAGGCGGUUUUGUAAGUCUGUCGUGAAAUCCCCGGGCUCAACCUGGGAAUUGCGAUGGAGACUGCAAGGCUAGAAUCUGGCAGAGGGGGGUAGAAUUCCACGUGUAGCAGUGAAAUGCGUAGAGAUGUGGAGGAACACCGAUGGCGAAGGCAGCCCCCUGGGUCAAGAUUGACGCUCAUGCACGAAAGCGUGGGGAGCAAACAGGAUUAGAUACCCUGGUAGUCCACGCCCUAAACGAUGUCUACUAGUUGUCGGGUUUUAAUUAACUUGGUAACGCAGCUAACGCGUGAAGUAGACCGCCUGGGGAUACGGUCGCAAGAUUAAAACUCAAAGGAAUUGACGGCGNGAGAGUGCGACGACGACGACGAGGGAGGAGG